This 1431-nucleotide long non-coding RNA is filed under the name Sorghum bicolor (sorghum). RNAcentral describes it as "long non-coding RNA (SBIC_LNC005829)". The record is from RNAcentral. Lineage: Eukaryota; Viridiplantae; Streptophyta; Magnoliopsida; Poales; Poaceae.
ACUAAGAUCAAAAGAUUCGUCUCGUGAUUUACAGCUAAACUGUGUAAUUAGUUUUUGUUUUCGUCUAUAUUUAAUGUUUUAUGCAUGUGCCAUAAGAUUCGAUGUGACGGGAAAUCUUGCAAACUUUUUGGUUUUUAGGGUGAACUAAACAAGGCCCAAGACCAUAUCUCCAUGUCAACCCAGAGCUAGCCAAGCAUCCUGCCGCGUCCGUACGUCAGGUGAGAACACGCGCUUUAUAAUAGUGCAGGAUUUACUCCUAUACCUAACUAUACUGUCAUUUAAUCUUGCCCCUUUUUAUGCUGUCAACAAUCACUGUUAGUAUAGUAUAGUAUAGUAUACUCAGUGCGUUACGUUGCAGUAAUAACUUGUAAAUUACGCUACUAUGCCGAUGCAUAUACAUUCAACGACGUACUAGUACCACACUAAUAAUAAGAUGAUCAAGCGUGUAUAGUCUCAAUUUACUUCCCUUUUUCUUAGAAAAAAUAAAUCCAAACAUACUAGCUAUAGUAGUAGAUAGGUAGUUUCUUGCUAGAAUGGGGCUCUAGAUCUUUUGAUUACUGGUCUGGUAGAGUUUAAGCGACCGGCAAGUGAAGGCAUAAUAAUCCAGCAGUCAGCAGAUUCCACAAUAAGAAGCUCAAGACGUACGCACAGAGAACCGAGUGGACAAGCAAGCGAGCUAAAGGCAGCAGCAGUAUCACAGUACGUGAGCAACACAUGAGACCUUUGCUCAAUAAGUGAUAGUCCCAUGCCAACGCACACGGGCCACAGAAAUGGCCUCCCUCCUAGACAGAGCACUACGUCACUCCCAUUUCUUUGGGCGUCCCAGUCCCAGGGCUUGUUUAGUUCAACCUGAAAAGCAAAAAGUUUUCAAGAUUUUCCGUCACAUCGAAUCUUGUGUCACAUGCAUGAAACAUUAAAUAUAAACGAAAAUAAAAACUAAUUACACAGUUUGGCUGUAAAUCACGAGACAAAUCUUUUAAUCUUAGUUAGUCCAUAAUUGGAUAAUAUUUGUCACAAACAAACGAAAGUGCUACAGUAUCAAAAAAAAAAAAAAAAACUUUUCACUUACGGAACUAAACAAGCCGCCAGUGUCGUAGUCUUGUUUGUAGGCUGUAGCAGUAUUGCCAUGGCCCUUAUCUAGUUAAUGCACACACUGCAUCAAAACGUUCACUGUCGAUCGUACGCACAGCUAGCUAGCGGCACAGAUGUGUAUCGAGAGCGGGAGGAAGACGUCAACGCCUUGAUAUGAUGACCGAUGCCUACAUCGCAACCGCAGCAGGGGCAGCUGCAGCCACCAAGUCAACACGCGAGCUGCAUGCCUGCGAGCUCCGAUUCCCUCCCUCCCCGUUGGCCGUCGCCGAAAGUUGUGAACACCGUCAACCAUCUGGAUCCGACAGCAGCCGCUAACUAGAAGAACUGGCACCUGUGCCC